Molecule: ribosomal RNA, 179 nt
Filed under: uncultured bacterium
Lineage: Bacteria
Description: partial 16S ribosomal RNA
Rfam family: Bacterial small subunit ribosomal RNA
Source: RNAcentral
UGGGGAAUCUUGGACAAUGGGCGAAAGCCUGAUCCAGCGACGCCGCGUGGGUGAUGAAGGCCUUCGGGUUGUAAAGCCCUGUUGAGGGGAAAGAAAACGUUGGGCGCGAACAGCUCCCGACCUUGACGGUACCCCUCCAGAAAGCACCGGCUAACUCUGUGCCAGCAGCCGCGGUAAUA